This is a long non-coding RNA of Acinonyx jubatus (cheetah), 6003 nucleotides long. RefSeq lists it as uncharacterized. NCBI's taxonomy places the organism in Eukaryota, Metazoa, Chordata, Mammalia, Carnivora, Felidae. The record is from RefSeq and is a predicted model, not a curated record. The transcript is spliced from 2 exons.
UUUAAAACUUUUUUUUAAUGUUGAUUUAUUUUUGAGAGAGAGAGAGACAGAGUGUGAGCUGGGGAGGGACACAGAGAGGGGAGACACAGAAUCCGAAGCCGGCUCCAGGCUCUGAACUGUCAGCACAGAGCCCGACGCGGGGCUCGAACCCACCAACGAUGAGAUUAUGACCUGAGCCGAAGUCGGACGCUUAACCCACUGAACCACCCAGACUCCCCGCUUUCUGAGGUUUUAGGCCCUGCUUUCUCUUCCUGUGUACAGGGCAAACUCUUCAUUUAAAAGACAAAACCAAUCUGUGACCCUCUUGGGACCACGCGAUGAGUGCAUUGUCGGCCUGUGCGUUACCAAAUAAACCCGCAUUACGGGUGGCUUGAGAGAGCACUUUCAGAAUGGCCAGUUCUGCUGUGCCCUCACCAGCUCUCUGUGGGGCCACAAGAACGGUGGGGACCUCAGCAGGCAGGUGCGUCUGGGCAGGACCUGAGAGGGGGACCCAGCUCCCCAAAGCUGCCCUUUCCCCCUCCAGCUGUGCUAAGGCUGAUUUGCACAGAGAGCUGUUUGCCAACACAAGGAGGGACCCGGGCCACGAGCCCCUGUCUCACCUGUGAAUUUGGGGACUGCUACCAUAGAGGAGAGCCCCUGGGCAUGUCGGCUCACCCAGACGUUCAUGGUGGACUGCCCCCAGCAGCCCCCCCCGGGUCCCAUAGACCCAGCCUGCCACAGGAGGGCUCCUAGUUCCUCAAAGGGCUUUAUGGCUGAGAAUUUUGAAACCAGGGUUAUAAGUCACUCUAAAUAUCUAUGUGACAGACACACAUGUUCUCAGGUGCAUAUGUGCCUUGAGGGUUCUGAUUGGGUAACAAUAAUAUAGAUAGUGGGACCACGGCCAACUAUGGGCGGAGAUCCCAAGAGCAAGGACAAGGAUGAGCACAAUGACAGACAAGUCAGUAAAUCACGACCAGAAUAUGUGUUCCUGACAAUAGACUGCAACUUGCGCUGAGCUUCCUUAGCAGCCUAAGCGCAGAUAGAAACACGCUCGCCGAGCAGCACAUUCAAGGCGGGGACAUACCUGUACCCACAAGCUCGGCCUUGCAGUACGUGUAACAUGAAACGAUUUCAACUUAAUUUCUUCUGUCUCGAGGCCCCAUCUCCGUCAAUUCAGAGAUGCUCCCCGCAACUGCCUAAUUCUUCCGAAACCUUGGGUGAGCUCUGCCGGAGGGUACAUAGUGACGGAGGUGCAGGGGGGUGGGGUGGGGGGCGGUCCUGGCCGUCAGUUCCUGCCAGCAUCUUCGGAAGUGUCCACUGACACCUGCCAGGUUCUUACGCAGGUCUCCUGCGUGUCACCCUAUUCCAGGGUCUCUUUCUGCUGUUGGGCGCCACGCUGGGUCGUGGGGUGCUCGGGUGCUCGGUGCACCGCCUCGACCCUUUUCUGUAUUCUGGCCACCCUUAGCCCCACGAGAGUCACCAGCUGCUGCUCUGGCACGGAGGGCCGGAGGGAAGGUGGGCAGACUCUGAACUGACUCUCGACUUACCACGCAGCCCUUGCUGCUUUGUGGGGAUUCCCCAUCUCCCCACAGACCCCAGGACACGGCGCCCUCAGAGCUCGGUGGGGUUUCUGGCGUGCAAACUCCAUCUCAGGGAUGGUCCAGUGGUCAGACCGUCUCUGCUCCUAGAAAUCCCCUUUCUUCACCCUGCCUGGUGCUUGAAGACUUGCCCUGAUUCAUCCCUGGUUAUCCAGACCCCAGAGCCUGUCCUUUGAUCUGUGGCUGUAACACUGUUCCCCGGAGCAGUGACGCUGGCCUGUGGCUCUGGGGUGGGGUGAUGGAGGCACAGGCCGAGAGGUACAGAGCUCUGUGGGGGUGGGGUGGCUAAUCGGUUAAUAUUAAAGAACUUCUGUCCCUGUCCCACCCACGUGGAUGUAGAUGUAGAGUUGGGAGAAGUUGUGUGCCAGGUUUUGGGUACGGGGUCGACUGUGGGGCGAGGGGCGGGGGGUGGCGGUGGAGAAGGUUUGGGGCAGAAGCCCCUGACUCUCCUCAAAUUCAGAGUCCGGAGAGCCUGGCGCCGAGAUUUCUACCUUUUGAGGUUCAUUCCUUUGGCAGCCCUUCUGAUGGAAAGAUCUUUGAAAAUGCCUGAUGGUAGUGAAGCUAUGCGUUGUUUAGUGCAUGAUGGCAUGUGGACCCCGGGAAGGGUUACUGGGGCUCCAGCAGAGGAUGGGAUGUGGAUGGACCCCCCCCCCCCGCCCCCACUGGAGAGAGGGGAAGGCUUUUCUGGACCUCUCCCACCCUAUGACCCUGCUCCGAAGGUCAGCGUACAAACAGCGGGAUAAUGUCCUCUGGAUAAUGGACUUCAGCCUUCCCGGUAGACUCCAGGCAACCUGCGAUGAGACCCCACGGACACUUGUGUUCAGCUCUCUUCCUGGGUAACAAGACAUUUAAAAUCACCAGGCUCGCUGUUUCUGGAGGUCUCCCCAGGAGGCCGCGGCUCGAGGACGUGGUCUGUUUCUUUGCUGGGCUUCUCCGCCCUGGGUCCAGGCGACUCCCCAUCCAUGCUAAGCCCCGUAUCUCAGGACCCGGGGACACACGAGGAGCUGUGGAUGUGUGCCGCACGGGGUUGAGCACAUUGGCUGAUGAGAGCAGGUAGGUCCCUAAAGUCCCCUCCCGGAGGUUUGGACUCUGCUCCUAAACCCCAGGGAUGUCUCCGGUGGAUGUGUGCCUCUACAGUUUCGUUCCUCCCAGGGGGAUGGUUUCCGGGGAGCGGGAGGGUCACAUGCUUGGAAAACCGUGCCAGUGUUACAAAGCACUUCUUCUCCUAGUCCCGGAAUAUCCUGGACGGUGCACGUCUAUGCAGUCCCAAAUUUGGACACUGGCAGCGUUUGAUAAGGAACGAUAGUAGUUUGGGUCAGGCAUGAAAGGAAAGGAGCUCACUUACUGUAGGCAGUUUGUAUUUGCAGCGAUGUUUCCAGUUGAUCGGGAUUCGCCCCAUCGUAAGCUGGGGAAGACCCGUGUAUCAGACCUCCGUGACUGUCACACUUCUCAAGCUCGUUUGGCGUCCACGAGUGGGCUUCUGUUCACCUGCGCAUGGCCGUCUGUCACGGUACACGUGACCUCCGUCCAGAGUCCCCGGGACCCUGCUUUCCAAGGACCGAGACAAAAGGCCACGCACAGCUCUUGCCAAAGGAGGGGAUGGCUAUCGGAUCGAGUUGUAAUCAAUGGGAAGAGUGCAUUAAAGCUUUCCCCACCGCUGCAUUUCUCAGGGUCGUUGUUGAAAGUGCAGAUUGUGUUUUAUGCGGGACUGUAAUGAGAAUUUGAAUUCCGUGUGGAGCCUGAAGGGUAAAUGAAAAGUCGUCAGUUGCCCAGCUGUGCCACCGAUGGGUGUCUUUCUCUGCAAUUUAUUCCACGCUUGUUUCCGUUAAUGUAUUCAUCCAGCCGUGCACUGGUUCAUUCAGUCGCCGAUUCGGCCGAGCUUUGCUGAGUGCCCACUGUGUGCCGGGCACUGUGCUGGGCUUUAAAAAUGUCAGAGAUGGCCAGGGCUUUGUUUCUUCUUUUCAUCGGCUCCCAGCCUGGAAGGGGAGAUCGAUGGACAAUGGAGACAUAGGGAAAUGGUUACGAGGCUGCGUGGUGAGAAGGAUCCCGGUUGGCUUUUCUGGAAAUAUGCAGAGCCGAUGGGAGGGAGUGAUCCCUUAGAGAAGGCAUCGGGGAAGGCUUACAAAGAAGGGAUCCUCCUCUCCCAGCCUGAGGACGGCCAGGCUCCAGGAGGUAGGUCCAGGGCACACGGUGUGGGACAGAGAGUCUUCAGGAUGCUGUCACUGUUAAAAGUAAAUGUGUUCAGGAAAAGUGAAGGCGUCUGAGAGGUGGCCACGGGUUCAUGAAUACCGACAGCAUUCGUCACGGUGUGAUAGGAGCGUUUUUUCUAAAUUGGGAAUGGAAGGUCUUAAUGGCCAUCCCCACCUUGAGGGCAGGAAAUGAGACUUUAGGACAAGAAAGUCGGGGGAGCGGCCAGAGAGGCUUCGUCCUCCGGCUUCUCUGGGUUUGUGGGGUGCUCCAGCUCUGUGUGCGCAUGUGACCUUUUCUUUGUGCCCAAGGUGGGGGGGGGGGGCAAGCUCUUGGCAUCUCUCCUUAUAAGGACACUAAGCCCAUCAGACCAGGGCUCCACCUUCAGGACCUCAUUUAACCUGAAUUACGUCCUUAGACUUCCCACCUUCAAACACAGUGUGAUUACACCAGGCAGGGGGCUCAGAGCUUCAGUAUCUGAAUUUUGGUGGAGGGGCACAAAUAAUUAUUUGGUCCGUAACGGACAGGGUGUAAUGAAUGAAACACCAUGCUUGUUGAGCACUUACGGUGUGCCCGGCCCCUCAUGGGCGUUCUCAAAAUUCAGCUGCAGAAAUGGAAAGGCACCUCCGUGGGCCCCCAGGCCCUGUCCCAGGUAGGCGGGGCUGGCCUGCAGGUGUGUAUGCACCCCCUUUCUGGAGAGAGGGAACCGGGGUCUGGGGACUGCAGGGGCGUGUGUGGGCUCUGCCCAUCUGCCCUCCAGCAAUGGAUCUGGGAUCUGAAUACAGUUCAGCACACUGCAGCCCUGCACACGUCCCCCCUUAGGGCUGCCAUAACAGAGCAUCACACACUGGGGACAUCAGGACCCUAGAAAUUGACUGUCCCACACUUCUGGAGGCCGGGAGUCUGAAAUCAAGUUGUUGACAAGGCUCAUUCCUCCUGAAGGAUCUGAGGACAAUCAGUUCUUGCCCUUCUGGUUUCUGGGGACUCCAGGCUUUCAUUGGCUUGGGGCUGCAUGACUCCAGUCUUGGCCUCUGGCUUCAUAGGGCUUUCUUCUGCGUCUCUGGGUCUCCUCCUGUUCUUACGAGGGCCCCUGUCAUUGGAUUUAGGACCCUUAAUGAUAUCUGCAAAGACCCUUCUCAAAUAACACAUGCUGGGUGGACGUGUUAUUUAGGGGACACUUGUCAGCCACCUGCAGGGAUGUUCCUGCACGAACGGGGUGAGCAGACAGGUGUGCACAGGGUCAGCCCGGCUCGUCGUUCCCCACCCAGCCCUGCACGCACAAGGCUUGCGUCGACCGGGCUCCAGCCAAGCCUUUCUCCUCCUGUUUUCCUGUUUGCAGGUUUUGGAUUUUAUUCUUUCACAUCGGAGUUUUUCUCAAACAGCCGCAGAUCUUUGGCGAUCUACUCACGGUUCACAGUGACAUCUUUUCCCAGAUCCUUCUAUCUGUCUGGGAGGUGCGACUUUGAUUUGUGGCAUUCUGGAAGGGGAGAAAGAGAAGAGGAUAGGGCUCCCCAGCCACGUGACUUUUGCUUAAUCGCCCCAAAUUCAGCCUUUACCUUUCGCCACCGGCUGCUACGCCUGAGGCCCCAGGGCCCAGACUCUGAUGGAGCUUCUCUGCAGGAUGCGUCUAGUUUCCUCUUUGGAUAGGGAAGGGUGGUCUCCCGAUUGUGAAGUAGGGGUCGGGUUUGAGGGUCUAAGAUGAUCACAGUGUUUUCAGAUUCAUCCACUGCCGUCUUGGUAAACGGUCAGCAGCUGGCUCCCUGGAGGAAAGAAAAGACGUCCCGAUUUUUAGAACCUGUUGACUCUGGUAGGUCAGUAUUCCCACCGUGGCUGGUUCCAAGCUCGCCGGGUUGAUGCCCCUGGAUGCAGAGUUGAGGAGAGAGGCUCCGUGGCACACGUCCUCAUGUGGCACCUCCAGCAGGUAGACACAGUCACAUUGGUCAUCUCAAGAGCACAGGGAGUGGCAAAAUGUAACAGAAGACUCAGGAAGUGAUGCGUUCUGAGUCAUCGUUACCUCCGUUUUUCAUACAGUGUGUUUAACUGAAGUUCCUAUAAUUUAGGUUUGAUCACCGCUGUGUUGGAUAACCGACGCAGGGAAGUUCUGGAACGUGACAGCCGGCCCUUGCGAACCGGUAUAAGCUGACUAGCACACAGCGCCCCUGAGUCACGUCCUGCCCUCUCCCUGGCACCUGGUAGCUCAAAUUUCUUGUGGCUCCAAUAGAUUUGUUUCUAAUUGGUC